This 392-nucleotide ribosomal RNA is filed under the name uncultured bacterium. RNAcentral describes it as "partial 16S ribosomal RNA". It matches the Rfam family "Bacterial small subunit ribosomal RNA", at positions 523 to 918 of the family's 1533-position model. The record is from RNAcentral.
AUACGGAGGAUCCGAGCGUUAUCCGGAUUUAUUGGGUUUAAAGGGUGCGCAGGCGGCCAUUUACGUCAGCGGUUAAAUCGUGGGGCUCAACCCCAUUCUGCCGUUGAUACUGGGUGGCUUGAUUGCGGUCGAGGUUGGCGGAAUUCGUUGUGUAGCGGUGAAAUGCAUAGAUAUGACGAAGAACACCGAUUGCGUAGGCAGCUGACCAGACCGCAAAUGACGCUCAUGCACGAAAGUGCGGGGAUCGAACAGGAUUAGAUACCCUGGUAGUCCGCACAGUAAACGAUGAAUACUUGUUUUCGGCGAUAUAAUGUCGGAGGCAAAGCGAAAGCGAUAAGUAUUCCACCUGGGGAGUACGCCGGCAACGGUGAAACUCAAAUGAAUUGACGGGG